This 323-nucleotide ribosomal RNA is filed under the name uncultured eukaryote. RNAcentral's name for it is "partial 18S ribosomal RNA". It matches the Rfam family "Eukaryotic small subunit ribosomal RNA", at positions 1470 to 1796 of the family's 1831-position model. The record is from RNAcentral.
CCCUUAGAUGUCCUGGGCCGCACGCGCGUUACACUGAUGCAUUCAACGAGCUUAUAACCUUGGCCGAGAGGCCUGGGCAAUCUUGUUAACGUGCAUCGUGAUAGGGAUAGAUUAUUGAAAUUAUUAAUCUUGAACGAGGAAUUCCUAGUAAACGCAGAUCAUCAAUCUGCAUUGAUUACGUCCCUGCCCUUUGUACACACCGCCCGUCGCACCUACCGAUUGAAUGGUCCGGUGAAAUCUUCGGACCGGGCGAUAGUCAGCAAUGACCGUUGCCUGGAAAGUUGCUUAAACCUUACCAUUUAGAGGAAGGUGAAGUCGUAACA